GAUGAACGCUGGCGGCGUGCCUAAUACAUGCAAGUCGAGCGAACAGACGAGGAGCUUGCUUCUCUGACGUUAGCGGCGGACGGGUGAGUAAAACGUGGAUAACCUACCUAUAAGACUGGGAUAACCUCGGGAAACCGGAGCUAAUACCGGCUAAUAUUUUGAACAGCAAGGUUCAAUAGUGAAAGACGGUUUUGCUGUCACUUAUAGAUGGAUCCGCGCUGCAUUAGCUAGUUGGUAAGGUAACGGCUUACCAAGGCCACGAUGCGUAGCCGACCUGAGAGGGUGAUCGGCCACACUGGAACUGAGACACGGUCCAGACUCCUACGGGAGGCAGCAGUAGGGAAUCUUCCGCAAUGGGCGAAAGCCUGACGGAGCAACGCCGCGUGAGUGAUGAAGGUCUUCGGAUCGUAAAACUCUGUUAUUAGGGAAGAACAAAUGUGUAAGUAACUCUGCACGUCUUGACGGUACCUAAUCAGAAAGCCACGGCUAACUACGUG
RNAcentral lists this ribosomal RNA (497 nucleotides) under uncultured bacterium. RNAcentral's name for it is "partial 16S ribosomal RNA". It matches the Rfam family "Bacterial small subunit ribosomal RNA", at positions 28 to 507 of the family's 1533-position model. The record is from RNAcentral.